RNAcentral lists this ribosomal RNA (506 nucleotides) under uncultured bacterium. RNAcentral's name for it is "partial 16S ribosomal RNA". It matches the Rfam family "Bacterial small subunit ribosomal RNA", at positions 29 to 523 of the family's 1533-position model. The record is from RNAcentral.
AGUGAACGCUGGCGGUAGGCCUAACACAUGCAAGUCGAACGGCAGCACAGAGGAGCUUGCUCCUUGGGUGGCGAGUGGCGGACGGGUGAGGAAUACAUCGGAAUCUACUUUUUCGUGGGGGAUAACGUAGGGAAACUUACGCUAAUACCGCAUACGACCUACGGGUGAAAGCAGGGGAUCUUCGGACCUUGCGCGAUUGAAUGAGCCGAUGUCGGAUUAGCUAGUUGGCGGGGUAAAGGCCCACCAAGGCGACGAUCCGUAGCUGGUCUGAGAGGAUGAUCAGCCACACUGGAACUGAGACACGGUCCAGACUCCUACGGGAGGCAGCAGUGGGGAAUAUUGGACAAUGGGCGCAAGCCUGAUCCAGCCAUACCGCGUGGGUGAAGAAGGCCGUCGGGUUGUAAAGCCCUUUUGUUGGGAAAGAAAUCCAGCCGGCUAAUACCUGGUUGGGAUGACGGUACCCAAAGAAUAAGCACCGGCUAACUUCGUGCCAGCCGCCGCCGUAA